This 29-nucleotide non-coding RNA is filed under the name Rattus norvegicus (Norway rat). The record is from RNAcentral. Lineage: Eukaryota; Metazoa; Chordata; Mammalia; Rodentia; Muridae.
UGACUAUCUCCGUGAGUCCAUCAGAAUUU